AUUAAUGAAAAAAUUUAAAUCCACAAAAGUAAAGAGAAUGGUGUUAAAACUGCACACUUUACCAAUACCAAUACACGUAUAAUCUUGUUUCACCCAACACAUUUAUAUUCUCCUAUCACUGAAGUAUAUUGUAGAAAAUCCCAAGCAUUAUUUUAUUUCAACCAUACUUUAGUAAGUUACAGUUUUAUGUAAUGUAUGAGUUACAAUAAAUGCAAUCGUUAUUGUCACUACCAUAUUAUUUUUGUGUUGAGUUCAGCUUUAAUGGAACCCUCCCCAAGCUGACUCCAGUGUUCUAAAAUGGCUCAUCUCUACUUUCUUCUGGGGCAUACUAUUUCCUCUCAGAAUGACAAUUCUGUGUUGCCCUUGCCUUUUUAAAUUAAAUUACUUUAUUAUUACAUUUAGCAGAAAUUCCUCUAAGUUUUUGGUAAAUGAAAAGAAAUUUACCACAUUUAUGAGAGGUUUGGGCUAAGGAAUGGGUAAGAGCCUCUGCUUACAUCUUAUUCAAAAUUUAGGUCCUGGUGGCUUAAAAAUGGCUCAAUUACAAUUGUUCAUUGUAUUUUUUUAGAUUAUUUGAAAUAAGCCAAGAAGUAGGCCAAAUAAUUCUAAAUUCUUUUUGGAAGUAACUAUCGUACAAAAUCUUUAACCCAUAAGUUGGUGAUUUAAUUAUUUAUUUUGUUCUUCCAGAAGGACCUAUAUCUCAAGGUAACCAAAUAAGUAUAACUAAUAAGAAAUAGUUUUUUGCUUUUUUUAACAAAAGAAUCACAUAUAGUAUAAUACAAUAAAAUAAUUUUUUAAAAUCACUACUGCCCUUUAUUAUUAAAUAAACUAAAUAAUCUAUUCAAGCUAAUACCAUUAUAUGAAAAAUUAACUUAGAAAUGAAUAUUCACAGUCCACCAAAAAGUAAGCUGGUGUGAUAUAAAGCUUUGUAAUGGAGGAAUUAGACUGUAACUAUCUAAACCUCAAAAUUAAUUUUAUCUGAACCAAUAGGAAAUAAAUGACACAUGUAUACUGAUGCAAUACAAUAUGAAAUACUCAGCUUCAUCUCUAAGUUAUUCUUGCCUAAUUUUUUAAUCUGAAUUUAGUCAAGUCCAUAGAUCUAAAUUUCUUUUUAUUACAAAUGCAGGGAAUAGAGUGGCAUGUAAAUACCACCAGGAUACAUUUGCUAAACCUAAAAGAGAAUUGGUAUUUUCCUCCCAACAAGUUCAUAACUAAAAUGUAAAGGAAUGGGAAUGGAUUUUCUACAUUAAAGAUUUAAAAAACAAUAUCUAGCCCUGUUUCCAACAACUCGCUUUAUAAUUUUUUAAAUCUAUUUUUUAUUUUUUUGAGACGGAGUCUCACUCUGUCGCCAGGCUGGAGUGCAGUGAGGCGAUCUCAGCUCACUGCAACCUCCUCCUCCUGGGUUCAAGCAAUUCUCCUGCCUCAGCCUUCCAAGUAGCGGGGAUUACAGGUGCGCACCAACACAUCUGGCUAAUUUUUCGUAUUUUUAGUAGAGAUGGGGUUUCACCAUGUUGGCGACCUCCUGACCUCAGGUGAUCCACCUGCCUCGGCCUCCCAAAGUGCUGGGAUUACAGGUGUGAGCCACCAUGCCGGGCCCAACAACUCACUUUAGAAAGACACUUCAGAGACAAUUAGGAGAUUUAGAAAAUUCAGGAAUAUGAACUGAGCAUUAGAUGAUAUUAAGGAACUAUUGGAAUUUGUGGGUGUGAUAAUCAUACUGUGAUUUGGGGGAAGAAAUAUCGAUGAGUUGGUGAUGCAUACUAAAGUAGAAUGACACUUCAAGACAUGACACUUCAAGAAAAGUCAUGAAGCAAAACUGACAAAAAUUAUAAUUAGUGCUGGUACGUGAUAGUUUAAUUUCUUUUCUAACUAUAAGUAAAGUUUAAAUUUGCAUAAAAAACAGGCUUCUAACAAGAUGUUGCUUAAGAUACCCUCUUACUUAUAGUGGUUCUCAUUCAUGUCUGUUUAUUAGUUCACUUGGGAAAGUUUAGAACUAACUGCACAGAUUAAUCAUGGUAGCUGAGCAUGGACCUUGAACAUUAAAAAUAAAUCCUCAGAUGAUUCUAAUGUGUAUCAAGGGUAGAGGAUGACAUCUCUAGGAUGUGAAAACUGAUUUUCUUGAUAGAGCGUAGUAAAGAGUAGGCUGAGAGAUCAUUCAGAUAGUAGUCUCCUUUUUUAGCCUUCUCCCCCUACAUGGGGCAGAUAGCAUUCAAGCACACAAGUUUAUUUCAGAUGCCAUGUGACACAUCAACCUCCAAUUGUGUGUGCUGCUGGGGAAAGGGCCCCGAUGAAGAGUGGAGGGUGGUAUCUUCUAUACUGCCUGAUGUAUCAGAAAAGCAAGGAGAGCCCUCAAUUCUAACUACAAAUUCACUUUCAGAUCACAAACCAAGUCUUAUGCAGUUGGGUAUUCAAACUAAUAAACUCUGACCAAUUUGCUUUGUUUCUUCAAGGAUGCAGACUUAACAUGUAAUUCAAUUAGAUUUCAAUCUCUGUACUUAAGUUCUUGUGGAAUUGCAAUAGCUAAGUAACACAAGUUAGUAGAGGGGUAGAACACAUAAAGAAAUAAUUUUCAUAAAAUGUAUUAAGUCUUUAAAUCAUUCAUGGGGCUUUCAGGAAGAAAGUGUUCUGUAUGAAUUCCAUUAUAAGGGAUUGUAUAAUAGAGGCUUCACAACCACUGCAAGGCGAAAGGAGUGAGGGUCAAAUAACUUGCUAUUAAUAAUUUGAGCUCACAGUGUGAAAGACACUUCAGUUUGUCAGAAAAAUUCAGCUGUUGCUAUAUUUAUGGUUCGCCCCUGGGCUGCAGAGUAGAAUCAUCUCGGAGACGCAAGUGAGUGACUCUCAAGGGAAAUCACUGGAAGGCACCACAUAACUCUCAGGUUGCAGUACCUGCGUGUGUACUUCUCAAGAAGCACACCUAAAAUCUACAGAUCCCAUACCUGCUCACAGAUGUCUCCGCAACUGCUCCAGGAAAUCAUGUGCUAUCUCUUCAUUCCACUUUCCAAGCCUCAAGUGAGUUUUUCUCAUUGACAAACUUUAACCUGGAAACAUGGGAAGGACGUUCUGUGAAUUGUUGUCCUUGGCUUCUUCUUUAUCAUAAUAAAGGAAUUGGGAACUUAAAAAGGGAGGAUGAGGUGGUCACCAAAUUAGCAACAGAUAAUUAAGUGCAAAGUACUAAAAUGUGGAUAAUUCUUUGUGGGUCUGGUAGAAACACCUAAAAUAAGUGGGCAAGUACAUUAAGAUUUCCUGAAACCACACUUUAAAUAAAUCUAGAAAGAAGAGCAGAUGAAAAAAGGAGGAGGUUAUUAAGGUAGAAAUUUGACAUGGGCAAAAUAAAAGAAGCACUGCACUGGUUUAUAAGAAUCAGCAAUUUAUUUUUCAUUUGUUUUUUGUAGUAUUUUAUCAAGGUGUUAUUUUUAUUUUAAGUGUUUAUUCUGUAUUUUAUUAAGAUUUUAUAAUUUUAUAUAAUAAAAUUCCUAUAACUAAAAUGUAAUUUUUAUAAAUUUAUAUAAAUAAACAUUAUCCAGUUCAACAUACAGAAUAUUUUUCUUACCACGGGAAGUUGCCUUGUGCCCUAAAAAGUCAAUCCACUCUUCCACAGAGGAAGCUGCCGUUCUAAUUAUUGUCAUAGAUAAGCUUUGUCUGGUCUUUGAAUGCUUCCAUGUGAUAUUAAAUAGGAUGUAAUCUUUGUAUGUGGGUUCACUCAACAUAGUGUUUUCACAUUCUGGUUAUAGCUGUCUUGUUUUUUAUUUCUGUGCCAUAUUCUAUUGCAUGACUUGCCAAAAACACAGAUGGUUAUUUAGGUUGUUUCAAAUAUGGGGCUAUUACAAUAAAGCUUCUGUGAAUGUGGCUAUGUAUAUAUUCAUUCAUAUUGGGUUAUCUAAGACUGGAAAUGUUGAAUCAUGAGACAGACAAUAUUUAAUUUUUUAAAAACCAACAAAGAGAUUUCCAGUGUGGUUGCACUAUUUUAUACUCUCAUCACAAAUGUAAAUUUCCAAUUUGACACAAUUUUUACCCAAAUUUGGUGUUGUCACAAUUUUUUCAUGUAAUUUUAGCCAUUCAAGUGGAUGUAGAGUAAUAUUUCAUUGUGCUUUCAAUUUUAGUUCCUUGAUAACUUUUGAAGUCAUAUGAUUAUUGACCAUUCUGAUAUCUUCUCUGUAAAAUGCUAUUUUUAAUGUAUAUAUCUUUUUAUUAUGGAUUUGUAGGAGUAUGCGUAAUAUGUUUUAGCUAUAAGACUCUUGUUAGAUAAAUUCUUUCAAAAAAUUUUUUUCCAAUCUGUGACUUAUUAUUUAAAUGCCAUGAAUGCUGGUUCUUGAUGAAGAGAAAUUUGCAAUUUUCAUAAAGUUCACUUAAGCUUUUUAAAUUUCUGUUUUCAGAUUUUGUGUCCUAAGGAUUCUUGUAAAGAACUCCAUAUCUUUUAAGAAAAUUGGCUAUAUACCUAAAACUAUUCUACUCCCCAAGUAUCUCUGGCUCAAAUAACUUCACCGACAAAUUCUGUAAACUAUUGAAGGAAAUGUAUCAAUUCUACAGAAACUUUUCCAUAAAUUUGAAGUACAAGGAAUUUUUUUUAAACUCAUUCAAUGAGGUUGGCAUUAAAAUGUUACCAAAACCUGAUCAGACAGGAAAAAGAAAAGUUCAAAGUGAUAACCCUUCAUCAACAUAGAUGCAAAGAUUGCAAACUGAAUUUCAACAAAGACAUCAAACAAUAGAUUAAAAAAUACAUCAUGAACAACUGGGUAUUUUCCAAGAAAUAAAAAGUUGAAUGUUAAAAAUUGAUCAAUAUAAUUCAAUUAACAUGCUGAAUUUAGUUUAACAAACUAAAAAAGAAAAUCUAUAUAAUUAACUCAGUAAAUGCAGGAAACUUAUUUGAAUAGUGAGGAUGUUCUCCAAUUUUUUUUCUAGAUGUAUUUUUAACUUUCAUAUGUAUACCUGUGAUUCAUACCAAAUUAAUUUGUGUGUUAUGAUUUAGUAGACAACAAAGUUUCUUCUAUACAAUAUCUAGUGUUUCAAGCACAUUUAUUGAAAAUAUUUUCCUUUGUUUAUUGAAUUAUCUUGAUGUUUUUGACAGUAUCAAUUGACAAUAUAUGUAUGGGUUUUUUUCUUUUCUGUUACACCGAUCAUUUUGCCUGUCUUUAUGCCAAUAUCCAUUCUAUUAAUCAUGAUAACAUUUUAAUAAACUUUGAAAUCAAGCAGUAUUGGUUAUCCUAUUUGUUUCUCUACUUCAUAAUUCUUUGGGGCAUUCAAAUAUCUUUACACUUCCAUACAAAUAAUUUUUUUUUAAUUUUGUUAAUUUCUGUGACAAGUCUGAGGAAUUUUGACAGGGAUUGCAUUAAAUCUAUAGAUCAAUUCUGGGACAACUGACUUCUAAGUAAUUGAGUCUUCCAAUCUGUGACAUAUCUCUUG
Molecule: long non-coding RNA, 5397 nt
Filed under: Homo sapiens (human)
Lineage: Eukaryota; Metazoa; Chordata; Mammalia; Primates; Hominidae
Description: HSALNT0358259
Source: RNAcentral